This 848-nucleotide ribosomal RNA is filed under the name Bacillus pumilus. Its description in RNAcentral is "bacterial SSU rRNA". It matches the Rfam family "Bacterial small subunit ribosomal RNA", at positions 41 to 890 of the family's 1533-position model. The record is from RNAcentral. Lineage: Bacteria; Bacillati; Bacillota; Bacilli; Caryophanales; Bacillaceae.
GGCGUGCCGUUACAUGCUAGUCGUGCGGACAGAAGGGAGCUUGCUCCCGGAUGUUAGCGGCGGACGGGUGAGUAACACGUGGGUAACCUGCCUGUAAGACUGGGAUAACUCCGGGAAACCGGAGCUAAUACCGGAUAGUUCCUUGAACCGCAUGGUUCAAGGAUGAAAGACGGUUUCGGCUGUCACUUACAGAUGGACCCGCGGCGCAUUAGCUAGUUGGUGAGGUAACGGCUCACCAAGGCGACGAUGCGUAGCCGACCUGAGAGGGUGAUCGGCCACACUGGGACUGAGACACGGCCCAGACUCCUACGGGAGGCAGCAGUAGGGAAUCUUCCGCAAUGGACGAAAGUCUGACGGAGCAACGCCGCGUGAGUGAUGAAGGUUUUCGGAUCGUAAAGCUCUGUUGUUAGGGAAGAACAAGUGCAAGAGUAACUGCUUGCACCUUGACGGUACCUAACCAGAAAGCCACGGCUAACUACGUGCCAGCAGCCGCGGUAAUACGUAGGGUGGCAAGCGUUGUCCGGAAUUAUUGGGCGUAAAGGGCUCGCAGGCGGUUUCUUAAGUCUGAUGUGAAAGCCCCCGGCUCAACCGGGGAGGGUCAUUGGAAACUGGGAAACUUGAGUGCAGAAGAUGAGAGUGAAUUCCACGUGUAGCGGUGAAAUGCGUAGAGAUGUGGGAGGACACCAGUGGCGAAGCGACUCUCUGAUCUGUACUGACGCUGAGGAGCGAAAGCGUGGAGCGACAGAUAGAUACCCUGUAGUCCACGCCGUAACGAUGAUGCUAAGUGUUAGGGGUUUCCCCCUAUGCUGCAGCUACGCAUAGCACUCCGCCUGGGGAGUACGUCCAGA